This 89-nucleotide ribosomal RNA is filed under the name Heterosigma akashiwo. RNAcentral describes it as "partial Trypanosomatid mitochondrial large subunit ribosomal RNA". Lineage: Eukaryota; Raphidophyceae; Chattonellales; Chattonellaceae. The record is from RNAcentral.
CCAUCAAAUAGAGGAGAUGGCUGGGCAAGAAAAUUGCCAUCUUAUACAAGGCCGUCCCCUUGAUCUACGUACUCCUAUAGAUGAAGGGG